AACGAACGCUGGCGGCGUGGAUAAGACAUGCAAGUCGAGCGCGAUACAUCCUGCAGCAAUGUAGGAUGUGUUGAGCGGCGCAAGGGUGCGUAACACGUGGGUAAUUUGCCAUGAAGUUUGGGAUAACUCGCUGAAAGGCGAGCUAAUACCGGAUGUGAUAAUCGGGAGGCAUCUCUUGAUUAUUAAAGUUGGGGACCGCAAGGCCUGACGCUUCUUGAUAAGCCCGCGGCCUAUCAGCUAGUUGGUGAGGUAACGGCUCACCAAGGCUAAGACGGGUAGCUGGUCUGAGAGGACGACCAGCCACACUGGAACUGAGACACGGUCCAGACACCUACGGGUGGCAGCAGUCGAGAAUUUUUCACAAUGGGCGCAAGCCUGAUGGAGCGACGCCGCGUGGGGGAUGAAGGGCUUCGGCCCGUAAACCCCUGUCAUUUGCGAACAACCUACGCUAUUUAAAAGUAAUGGCGAGCUGAUGGUAGGCGG
This 483-nucleotide ribosomal RNA is filed under the name uncultured bacterium. RNAcentral describes it as "bacterial SSU rRNA". It matches the Rfam family "Bacterial small subunit ribosomal RNA", at positions 29 to 494 of the family's 1533-position model. The record is from RNAcentral.